AUUGAACGCUGGCGGCAGGCCUAACACAUGCAAGUCGAACGGUAACAGGAAGCAGCUUGCUGCUUUGCUGACGAGUGGCGGACGGGUGAGUAAUGUCUGGGAAACUGCCCGAUGGAGGGGGAUAACUACUGGAAACGGUAGCUAAUACCGCAUAACGUCGCAAGACCAAAGAGGGGGACCUUAGGGCCUCUUGCCAUCGGAUGUGCCCAGAUGGGAUUAGCUAGUAGGUGGGGUAACGGCUCACCUAGGCGACGAUCCCUAGCUGGUCUGAGAGGAUGACCAGCCACACUGGAACUGAGACACGGUCCAGACUCCUACGGGAGGCAGCAGUGGGGAAUAUUGCACAAUGGGCGCAAGCCUGAUGCAGCCAUGCCGCGUGUAUGAAGAAGGUCUUCGGGUUGUAAAGUACUUUCAGCGGGGAGGAAGGGAGUAAAGUUAAUACCUUUGCUCAUUGACGUUACCCGCAGAAGAAGCACCGGCUAACUCCGG
This 489-nucleotide ribosomal RNA is filed under the name uncultured bacterium. RNAcentral's name for it is "partial 16S ribosomal RNA". It matches the Rfam family "Bacterial small subunit ribosomal RNA", at positions 30 to 506 of the family's 1533-position model. The record is from RNAcentral.